GCCUACGGGCGGCUGCAGUGGGGAAUAUUGGACAAUGGGCGAAAGCCUGAUCCAGCAAUGCCGCGUGAGUGAUGAAGGCCUUAGGGUUGUAAAGCUCUUUUACCCGGGAUGAUAAUGACAGUACCGGGAGAAUAAGCUCCGGCUAACUCCGUGCCAGCAGCCGCGGUAAUACGGAGGGAGCUAGCGUUGUUCGGAAUUACUGGGCGUAAAGCGCACGUAGGCGGCUUUGUAAGUUAGAGGUGAAAGCCUGGAGCUCAACUCCAGAAUUGCCUUUAAGACUGCAUCGCUUGAAUCCGGGAGAGGUGAGUGGAAUUCCGAGUGUAGAGGUGAAAUUCGUAGAUAUUCGGAAGAACACCAGUGGCGAAGGCGGCUCACUGGACCGGUAUUGACGCUGAGGUGCGAAAGCGUGGGGAGCAAACAGGAUUAGAUACCCCUGUAGUCGG
RNAcentral lists this ribosomal RNA (443 nucleotides) under uncultured Sphingomonadaceae bacterium. RNAcentral describes it as "bacterial SSU rRNA". It matches the Rfam family "Bacterial small subunit ribosomal RNA", at positions 337 to 797 of the family's 1533-position model. The record is from RNAcentral. Lineage: Bacteria; Pseudomonadati; Pseudomonadota; Alphaproteobacteria; Sphingomonadales; Sphingomonadaceae.